UGCCCUGGGAGGGAUACCCCGGGAACUGGGGCUAAUUCCCGAUAGGUGAAGAACUCUGGAAUGAGUCUUUGCCCAAAAGGUGUCGGAUCAUGCUUUCGGCAUCGCCCAAGGAUGGGGCCGCGACCGAUCAGGUUGUUGGUGAGGUAAUGGCCCACCAAGCCUAUAACCGGUGCGGGCCGUGAGAGCGGGAGCCCGGAGAUGGGCACUGAGACAAGGGCCCAGGUCCUACGGGGCGCAGCAGUCGCGAAAACUUUGCAAUACACGAAAGUGUGACAGGGUCAUCCCGAGUGCCGACCGCUGAGGUUGGCUUUUACCCAGUCUAGAACGCUGGGGGAAUAAGGAGAGGGCAAGUCUGGUGUCAGCCGCCGCGGUAAUACCAGCUCUCCGAGUGGUGUGGACGUUUAUUGGGCCUAAAGCAUCCGUAGCUGGCUGAACAAGUCCCCUGUUAAACCCACCGAUUUAAUCGUUGGUCUGCGGGGGAUACUGCUCGGCUAGGGGACGAGAGAGGCAGACGGUAUUCCCGGGGUAGGGGUGAAAUCCUAUAAUCCCGAGAAGACCACCAGUGGCGAAGGCUGUCUGCUAGAACGCGCCCGACGGUGAGGGAUGAAAGCUGGGGGAGCGAACGGGAUUAGAUACCCCGGUAGUCCCAGCUGUAAACGAUGCAGGCUAGGUGUUAGGACGACUACGGGCCGUUCUAGUGCCGCAGGGAAGCCGUUAAGUCUGCCACCUGGGAAGUACGGUCGCAAGGCUGAAACUUAAAGGAAUUGGCGGGGGAGCAC
This 779-nucleotide ribosomal RNA is filed under the name uncultured archaeon. RNAcentral describes it as "bacterial SSU rRNA". It matches the Rfam family "Archaeal small subunit ribosomal RNA", at positions 111 to 879 of the family's 1478-position model. The record is from RNAcentral.